GAGGGUAGAGCUCAGUGGUAGAGCAUGUGCUUAGCAUGCACGAGGUCCUGGGUUCAAACCUCAGUACCGCCA
This 72-nucleotide transfer RNA is filed under the name Camelus bactrianus (Bactrian camel). It matches the Rfam family "tRNA". Rfam says of the family: Transfer RNA (tRNA) molecules are approximately 80 nucleotides in length. Their secondary structure includes four short double-helical elements and three loops (D, anti-codon, and T loops). Lineage: Eukaryota; Metazoa; Chordata; Mammalia; Artiodactyla; Camelidae. The record is from Rfam by way of RNAcentral. RNAcentral also lists the same sequence under 2 other names.